RNAcentral lists this unclassified non-coding RNA (201 nucleotides) under Hevea brasiliensis (rubber tree). The record is from RNAcentral. Lineage: Eukaryota; Viridiplantae; Streptophyta; Magnoliopsida; Malpighiales; Euphorbiaceae.
GAAAUUGAGGGAUCGGUAUCUGUGGCUUCAGAUGUGCUGACUAAAUUGGAUGGUUCGUUCUUCCCCUCGAAACUCGCCCUUGGACUGCGAAUCGGGUUCAUUAAUCCAAUGCUAGUGUCACCAGCCUUCCUUCGUUGUUCGUGCUCGGCUCUCCAUUUUCGUAACUCUUGUUCUACACCCAACUUUCCUUCCUUGGCUUUU